RNAcentral lists this ribosomal RNA (465 nucleotides) under Vreelandella stevensii. Its description in RNAcentral is "partial 16S ribosomal RNA". It matches the Rfam family "Bacterial small subunit ribosomal RNA", at positions 338 to 795 of the family's 1533-position model. Lineage: Bacteria; Pseudomonadati; Pseudomonadota; Gammaproteobacteria; Oceanospirillales; Halomonadaceae. The record is from RNAcentral.
CCUACAGGAGGCAGCAGUGGGGAAUAUUGGACAAUGGGGGGAACCCUGAUCCAGCCAUGCCGCGUGUGUGAAGAAGGCCCUCGGGUUGUAAAGCACUUUCAGUGAGGAAGAACGCCUGGUGGUUAAUACCCAUCAGGAAAGACAUCACUCACAGAAGAAGCACCGGCUAACUCCGUGCCAGCAGCCGCGGUAAUACGGAGGGUGCGAGCGUUAAUCGGAAUUACUGGGCGUAAAGCGCGCGUAGGUGGCUUGAUAAGCCGGUUGUGAAAGCCCCGGGCUCAACCUGGGAACGGCAUCCGGAACUGUCAAGCUAGAGUGCAGGAGAGGAAGGUAGAAUUCCCGGUGUAGCGGUGAAAUGCGUAGAGAUCGGGAGGAAUACCAGUGGCGAAGGCGGCCUUCUGGACUGACACUGACACUGAGGUGCGAAAGCGUGGGUAGCAAACAGGAUUAGAUACCCCUGUAGUC